UCCCUGGUGGCUCAGAUGGUAAAGAAUCUGUCUUCAAUACAGGAGUCCUGAGUUUGAUCCUUGGCUUGGGAA
RNAcentral lists this transfer RNA (72 nucleotides) under Capra hircus (goat). It matches the Rfam family "tRNA". Rfam says of the family: Transfer RNA (tRNA) molecules are approximately 80 nucleotides in length. Their secondary structure includes four short double-helical elements and three loops (D, anti-codon, and T loops). Further hydrogen bonds mediate the characteristic L-shaped molecular structure. tRNAs have two regions of fundamental functional importance: the anti-codon, which is responsible for specific mRNA codon recognition, and the 3' end, to which the tRNAs corresponding amino acid is attached (by aminoacyl-tRNA synthetases). tRNAs cope with the degeneracy of the genetic code in two manners: having more than one tRNA (with a specific anti-codon) for a particular amino acid; and 'wobble' base-pairing, i.e. permitting non-standard base-pairing at the 3rd anti-codon position. Lineage: Eukaryota; Metazoa; Chordata; Mammalia; Artiodactyla; Bovidae. The record is from Rfam by way of RNAcentral. RNAcentral also lists the same sequence under 1 other name.